AACUUCAGAGUAUCGAUAUGCCAGUUUAGUGCUCAGACGGAACCAUGAAACCCAAACUACUCACCUGGUCUUCUGCCGGACCUUCCUGGACUGUUUCUGGACGGGACUCUCUGGGGGGGGCGACGGGCAGUGCGGCGUUUCUCUGUAAUGCAAAAGUGUUUGAUCAGAACCGCAUCCUGCAAGACUCGGUUUGCAUCCCAAAUUCUGGUUCUGGAUUUCAAAGUGGAUCUAAAUGAAAUCUGAUCCAAACUAUAUCUGAUUACUGAUCGAGUGAUCACAGAGGAUCAAACAUGACGAGGAAAGAAGGAAACAAACUCCAGCCUGAACCGGCUCUUCAAAGAAGAGGAGGCCCAACACAGAACCCAGAGGAACUCCGGCGGCUCUCAGGUGGAUCAAAGCACGUCUGGUUCUUACACACACUCCUCUCUCGGUUCUGCCAGGUGGGGUCCAAACUCCUCCUCCGAGUCGCUCAAACAGACGACCUCGGCUGGCUCCUUACAGGAAAACUCCGCCCACAGACAGUCGUCAGCAUCGUCUGCAGGGAGACAGAACGUCAGGAGGAACAGAGUCUGCUGCUGGAAGCUCCGCCUCCUCUAAUCUUACCUGCGUUUUCAUUCUCGUUGAACAGAGAGGUCGUUGGCUUUAGCUGCAAGCCGCUGCUCACCUGAGCGACAACAAACAUGGCCGCUGUGGUCAGGAAGGCGAAUCACAGCGUCUGGGACGCGGCGGGUCGCCCGCUUACCUUGUUGGAGUAGAUGGGGACCGGCGUGAUGGCAGACGGGUCGAGGAUCCGCCGCCGUUUGGGGGGCGGCUUCAUCUGCUGAACGUCGCUGUCAAAAACCUGAGAGGGAGGCGGAGCCAAGGGGACGGCCAAACGAGU
Oryzias melastigma (Indian medaka) is the source of this 880-nucleotide long non-coding RNA. RefSeq lists it as uncharacterized. Lineage: Eukaryota; Metazoa; Chordata; Actinopteri; Beloniformes; Adrianichthyidae. The record is from RefSeq and is a predicted model, not a curated record. The transcript has 2 exons.